GCCAGUGUGGCAUAGUGGUUUGAGUGCUGGAUUAGGACUCUGGAGACCAGGGUUUGAAUCCAGGCUCAGUCA
This is a non-coding RNA of Phrynosoma platyrhinos (Desert horned lizard), 72 nucleotides long. NCBI's taxonomy places the organism in Eukaryota, Metazoa, Chordata, Lepidosauria, Squamata, Phrynosomatidae. The record is from the annotation of a GenBank genome assembly.